Long non-coding RNA from Frankliniella occidentalis (western flower thrips), 272 nucleotides. RefSeq lists it as uncharacterized. The record is from RefSeq and is a predicted model, not a curated record. The transcript has 2 exons. Lineage: Eukaryota; Metazoa; Arthropoda; Insecta; Thysanoptera; Thripidae.
ACCUGGGCUACAUCAUCACCCUUCUGCUUUAGAUGAUUUAACAAAUACUCUCCAAUGGAGAUUUGUGGAACAGGAGGCAAGCUCUUCCCACGGAGAACAUUAUCAUCAUCCAUUUUAAUUAAAGCUACAGCUAUAUUGCAGUCCUGGUUUUUUUUGUUUUGUUUUGUUUGGCACCGCGCAGCGCAGCCUCACCACCUCACCGCGCCGUCGUGGACCAGGACACACACUGCCGUCCUUGGAAUUACGUGCGACUUAAAGCGACUGCACAAGAC